Molecule: small nuclear RNA, 107 nt
Organism: Loxodonta africana (African savanna elephant)
Lineage: Eukaryota; Metazoa; Chordata; Mammalia; Proboscidea; Elephantidae
Source: Ensembl
GUGCUUGCUUCAGCAUCACAGAUGCUAAAACUAGAAAAGUGCAGAGAGGGUUAGCAGGGCCCCUGUGCGAGGAUGACAGACAAAUUCGUGAAGCAUUCCAUAUUUCA